RNAcentral lists this unclassified non-coding RNA (215 nucleotides) under plant metagenome. RNAcentral describes it as "partial contains small subunit ribosomal RNA, internal transcribed spacer 1, and 5.8S ribosomal RNA". The record is from RNAcentral.
UCUCCGUUGGUGAACCGGCGGAGGGAUCAUUACUGAGUUUACAACUCCCAACCCAUGUGAACAUACCUUUUGUUGCUUCGGCGGGAUGCCCCCGGCGCCUAGUGUGCCCGGGAAUCAGGCCCCCGCCGGAGGACCCAAACUCUUGUUUUUCUAUAGAGCUUCUGAGUGCAUUAUUUUAAUAAUUAAAACUUUCAACAACGGAUCUCUUGGUUCUG